This 107-nucleotide small nucleolar RNA is filed under the name Gossypium hirsutum (cotton). RNAcentral's name for it is "Plant small nucleolar RNA R71". It matches the Rfam family "Plant small nucleolar RNA R71". From Rfam's summary of the family: R71 is a member of the C/D box family of snoRNAs containing the C (UGAUGA) and D (CUGA) box motifs. Multiple nearly identical copies of this snoRNA have been identified in Arabidopsis, and it is thought to function as a 2'-O-ribose methylation guide for 18S ribosomal RNA. The record is from Rfam by way of RNAcentral. Lineage: Eukaryota; Viridiplantae; Streptophyta; Magnoliopsida; Malvales; Malvaceae.
AUUCCGUGAUGAGGGUAUCUUCGUAAUAGUUCUUUAAACCUCUCCCAUGCCUCAUACAAGGACUCAUCAUCCAAUUGUUGGAAGGUAGUAAUCUUGUUCCUCAACUU